Molecule: long non-coding RNA, 2794 nt
Filed under: Lotus japonicus
Lineage: Eukaryota; Viridiplantae; Streptophyta; Magnoliopsida; Fabales; Fabaceae
Description: long non-coding RNA (LJAP_LNC001988)
Source: RNAcentral
UUCUUUCAAUCUUCAGCCUCUAUAUAUACUCCAAGGAUUAGGGUUGAGCAAUGCAUGGGAAAUGCUACCGUUGGAGGGCAGUUCUGGAAAAUCCAGCUUCUGCUGUGGCUGAGAACGUUAGGUAGGUCGUCAGGAAGGUACACUUGCUUUUGUACUUGGAUAGCGACUUGACCUUUUAACCUAGGAGACUUCUGAUCAGAGGAAUGCUUCGUAUUGGAACUUGUGAAGCCGGUUGAUCAGAGUCAGAGGGAAAGCACAGAUCCUCUGACCAUUGUUUCUUCUGAUUCUGAACUCAGAGGGAAGAACAUGGCCUUCAGAGUUUCUUGCUUCUGGACUUCAGAGUUUCCACUAUUCAGCUUCUGGAUCUUCAGAGUCUUCUACACCAUCAGAACAUCUGAACCUUCAGUGUUUCUUGGUUAUCAGAACUUCUGGAUCUUCAGAGCUUCUAGUGAUUGAGUCCUCAUCAGAGUUUGUAUAACUUCAGAACUUCUGAAGCUUUUCCACUGUUCAUACUGAACAUAGUGAAUGCGAAAGCGUUGCUUGGGUCACUCUUUGUACACAGUGCUUCUGAUUUGUGUGAGAUUGAGUUGAGGUCAGAGCCUGUAAAUAGCACACUCAGAAAAACACGUUAGAGUACCACAAUUGUUCAUAUCAAAAGGUUAACUUGUAAUCAUCAAAACAUAGAGUUGUACUACUAGAUCAAAACUUGAUCUUACAAUCUCCCCCUUUUUGAUGAUGACAAAACUAAGAUUUUUGAUGAACAAUUCUUAAACAUUAAACUGAAUUCACUCAGAGUUUAGAGAUAUAGAAUAAUACUUAUCCUGAUGUGAAUAGUUUAUCUUGCUCAUUCUGCAUUCAAGUCACUGCUUGAUUCUGAGCUUAGCUCCCCCUGAAUCUAAUACUUGAUGAAAACGUUAGUAAAGUCUAGAUUCUGAGCUAAAUAAUAUAAGAGUUCAGAGUGAAAAACUUAUGACAUAGAUGAAAAUCGAGUAAACAGAGCGCAUAAGUAAUCAGAGUCAUGGACAAGGUAUCAGAGUCUUGGGUAUCAGAGUCAACUUAUAAUCACUUCAGAAGAAGUGAAAUGUAUUCCUUGUAUUUGCCCAGUGACAUAUCUAUGGUCAUGAAGGUGGAACUCUUAAAUUCUCCAAAAGAAAAAUAAAUCACACUAACACAUCUUACACAUCUCACACUAACACAUCUUACACAUCAAAAAGGGAAGGAAAGGAGAGGACUUUAGAGAGAUAAGUGAGAGAGAGUGAACAUCAUCUUCAUCUUAUCUUCAUCCUUCUUACCAAAAACUGAAAUCUUCAUCAUCUCUAAACACCACCAAGAAAUCAUCUUUUGUACUGAAAACGUUAUUCAAACCCCCCCCUUUCUACCGUUUUUCAUACCUUCAGGUUAAUGUGAUGUUUAUGGGUGUGACCUUGUACGAUGAAUUUUAUCUUAGGAAUGUAGUAUUUUGAUUAUUAAUAUCGAAGUUAUUUUCCAAGUGUUUCAUUCUUCGUUCGUCGGAGAAUUCGGCUGCACUACGGAAAACGGUCGAACCGACGAGUUUCGCCGAGAGCGCCCUUUCGUCAUCGAAUUAUUAUUUGAAUGUGAAAUAAAUAUUUUCCUUAUCAUUACGAUGAUGAUCAUCGUAAUGAUAAGGAAAAUAUUUAUUUCACAUUCAAAUAAUAAUUCGAUGACGAAAGGGCGCUCUCGGCGAAACUCGUCGGUUCGACCGUUUUCCGUAGUGCAGCCGAAUUCUCCGACGAACGAAGAAUGAAACACUUGGAAAAUAACUUCGAUAUUAAUAAUCAAAAUACUACAUUCCUAAGAUAAAAUUCAUCGUACAAGGUCACACCCAUAAACAUCACAUUAACCUGAAGGUAUGAAAAACGGUAGAAAGGGGGGGGUUUGAAUAACGUUUUCAGUACAAAACUUUCACCUUAAAGAUUUUGACAAAUCUUUCGAGAACUUAAGUGCAAAAGAUAAGAGAUAGAAAAGCACACAAGGAUUUUAUCCUGGUUCACUUGAUAAAUCACUCAAGCUACUCCAGUCCACCCGUUAAGGUGAUUUCUUCCUUCUUAGAAUGAAGGCAAUCCACUAAUCAGGUAAGAGUUACAACUGCACUUGAAACCUACAAGUGACUAACAAUUACACUGACUUAGCUCACACUAAGAUUCACUCUCUUAGUCUUCUCUAGGAUCCGAUCAACCUUGAUCUCCUAAAGGAACUAAACAAACUGUUUAUCAAAGAAUUGUUUACAAGAGAUUUGCUUCUAAAAAGCUAAUAGUAAACUCAAUGAAUUUCAGAUGAAAGAAAGCUUAGAAUAAUUUGAAUAUGUCUUGCGCGUAUGUAUUGCUUCUUUUUGCUUCUUUCAAUCUUCAGCCUCUAUAUAUACUCCAAGGAUUAGGGUUGAGCAAUGCAUGGGAAAUGCUACCGUUGGAGGGCAGUUCUGGAAAAUCCAGCUUCUGCUGUGGCUGAGAACGUUAGGUAGGUCGUCAGGAAGGUACACUUGCUUUUGUACUUGGAUAGCGACUUGACCUUUUAACCUAGGAGACUUCUGAUCAGAGGAAUGCUUCGUAUUGGAACUUGUGAAGCCGGUUGAUCAGAGUCAGAGGGAAAGCACAGAUCCUCUGACCAUUGUUUCUUCUGAUUCUGAACUCAGAGGGAAGAACAUGGCCUUCAGAGUUUCUUGCUUCUGGACUUCAGAGUUUCCACUAUUCAGCUUCUGGAUCUUCAGAGUCUUCUACACCAUCAGAACAUCUGAACCUUCAGUGUUUCUUGGUUAUCAGAACUUCUGGAUCUUCAG